Molecule: ribosomal RNA, 459 nt
Filed under: uncultured bacterium
Lineage: Bacteria
Description: partial 16S ribosomal RNA
Rfam family: Bacterial small subunit ribosomal RNA
Source: RNAcentral
CCUACGGGUGGCAGCAGUGAGGAAUAUUGGUCAAUGGACGAGAGUCUGAACCAGCCAAGUAGCGUGAAGGAUGACUGCCCUAUGGGUUGUAAACUUCUUUUAUAUGGGAAUAAAACGUUCCACGUGUGGGAUUUUGUAUGUACCAUAUGAAUAAGGAUCGGCUAACUCCGUGCCAGCAGCCGCGGUAAUACGGAGGAUCCGAGCGUUAUACGGAUUUAUUGGGUUUAAAGGGAGCGUAGGUGGAUUGUUAAGUCAGUUGUGAAAGUUUGCGGCUCAACCGUAAAAUUGCAGUUGAAACUGGCAGUCUUGAGUACAGUAGAGGUGGGCGGAAUUCGUGGUGUAGCGGUGAAAUGCUUAGAUAUCACGAAGAACUCCGAUUGCGAAGGCAGUUCACUGGACUGCAACUGACACUGAGGCUCGAAAGUGUGGGUAUCAAACAGGAUUAGAUACCCUUGAGUC